UCCUCUUUCUCUCUAGGUCUUAGUUGUUAUAAAUUUCUGAGUUUGAUUCCACAUUUGCUCUUUCUUCUUCACAUUUUUGGGUUUGUUUUCAUAAUUGAACUUUGUGUUCUCAUUUUCUGGGAUUGUUUUCAAGAUUGUUCUUGGUGUUCCUAUUUUCUGGGUUACUAACCUACUAAAUUUGAGUUUUGAGUUUCUCAUUCCCAGGAAACAAGAUGUCUUCAAGAAUUCCUUAACCCAGAAGGAAGAGCCUCUCAAGAGCACAACGAGAAGCUCUUCACAGCCAAUCCGCUGAAGAAAUUGCAAGAAAUUUCUUGACAGUCCAAGCCACCGGAGCUAGACUCGAUCGGGUCAGAAGUGGGAGAAGAGAAGCCCGAACUCGGACCUUAUCAUGUGUCUCAUAGAUGGUGUUAUUAAAUAUAGAAAAAUUUCUUGUGGUGUUGGUUUGUGUCGAUUACUUGUGACGUGCACAAUACAGACAAUACAUUGCUGAUGAAUGAAUAAUAACC
This 506-nucleotide long non-coding RNA is filed under the name Capsella rubella. Its description in RNAcentral is "long non-coding RNA (CRUB_LNC003137)". The record is from RNAcentral. Lineage: Eukaryota; Viridiplantae; Streptophyta; Magnoliopsida; Brassicales; Brassicaceae.